Molecule: long non-coding RNA, 462 nt
Filed under: Carica papaya (papaya)
Lineage: Eukaryota; Viridiplantae; Streptophyta; Magnoliopsida; Brassicales; Caricaceae
Description: long non-coding RNA (CPAP_LNC004340)
Source: RNAcentral
ACGAUGAAUCGGGAAGAAAAUCCUGCGAGAAAAAUCCCGUAGGGAAUAAGGUAGCCCACGCGGGUGCUAGGCACUAUGCGCGCGCGCAUGCGAGCACAGUAGCCGCGGGACAUGAGCAUAACGUGCACGUCCCCUCCACACGCACACAUGCAUGGGACGUGCGCACAACACGCACUUUGCGGGGUUAGGACCUGUGCGCAUUCUGUCGUGCGUAGGAGGGCCAUCCGCGCAUCACCUCGCACGUGAUCCCAGUGUGCGGCGCAUCAUCCGUGCUGUAGGCCUGUGAGAAUAGGCUCUGUGCAUCUGGGGCCUGCGCGCGUGGUGCCCAGUGUGCGGCGCCCAAUGCACUAGGCCCUGCAUGCACGGCGCCCAGCGUGCCCAAGCCCUGCGCAUGUGGCGCCAAGCAUGCUGGGCACGACAGGAGGACUGUGCGUCUGCAGGCUAGCCUGCAAUGCACCGACC